RNAcentral lists this ribosomal RNA (246 nucleotides) under uncultured bacterium. RNAcentral describes it as "partial 16S ribosomal RNA". It matches the Rfam family "Bacterial small subunit ribosomal RNA", at positions 528 to 772 of the family's 1533-position model. The record is from RNAcentral.
UAGGGGGCAAGCGUUAUCCGGAUUUACUGGGUGUAAAGGGUGCGUAGGUGGCAUGGCAAGUCAGAAGUGAAAGCCCGGGGCUCAACCCCGCGGACUGCUUUUGAAACUGUCAGGCUGGAGUACAGGAGAGGUAAGCGGAAUUCCUAGUGUAGCGGUGUAAUGCGUAGAUAUUAGGAGGAACACCAGUGGCGAAGGCGGCUUACUGGACUGUAACUGACACUGAGGCACGAAAGCGUGGGGAGCAAA